Cygnus olor (mute swan) is the source of this 3024-nucleotide long non-coding RNA. RefSeq lists it as uncharacterized. The record is from RefSeq and is a predicted model, not a curated record. NCBI's taxonomy places the organism in Eukaryota, Metazoa, Chordata, Aves, Anseriformes, Anatidae. The transcript has 2 exons.
CUUUCAAUCUCUAAAUGGAUCUAAAAGAAUACAGAAAUACGUUCAAGAAACUUCGACAGGAAACAAUUCCAGGAACAACUGAAGCUGCAGCAGACUUUCAGAAUAAAGCUUAAAAGGAAAGCCGAUAUAUACAUACUAGAAUAUAUUUUAAGGAAACUCUGCUGGAGAGAUUGAAACUAAUACUUUAAACCUUUCAUCCAGAGUCAAACAGUUUCACUGAGGCAAUACUAAACUCAGGAUAAGGGGCAAAUCAAGUACCAGUACCAUACCAUGCACGGUACUUCGAACACGGUACUUAACAUUAAGAUAGCACACAUGUAAAGUGUGAACUUUUGCCUAGCACUAAGAAACCAAGAAAAUGAGUGUACUCGAACACUUCAGAAAAAUGAUAAAAAUAUUUAAUAUGUGAAUAAAUUAAUUUGAAAUUGGAAGCAUUUAAAAGCAAUGAUUUUCCCCUCUUUUGCUUUCUAUAAAAGCUCACAAAGAUUAUUGAAAACUGAAUUUCAAACAAUGCUUUUUAAUUUCUAAAAUAUGCUGUUCUGGAAAGCGAUUGAGGUUUCCAGUUACAUUCCUACUGGUUGAAUUCAAUGUAAUUAUGAUUUUUCAUACGCAUAAGCUUUUUUGAGCUUUGGAACUUUGAAGUGGUUGAUUUUGCAAAGGCUUUUUUCAAGUAGGCUUUUCAAUAUAGUUAAAACGUAUUUUCUUUCAUAUCAAGAAACUAUGUGCUGUUUCAAGAAAAACACAUUGUAUUAUUAGCCUUCAUAGAACAAAGUGACUGAAUAAAAUCAUUCGAAGCACAGCUACCUGCAGAGAUGAUUAGAAAUGUGGUUUAUCCUCUGUAGAGAUUGGGAAGAAGAGAGAUUCCCCCUCCCUCUGCAAUGGCACAGGCGAAAAAACCUCUCUGAUUUACCUAGGAAGAAUCUGAGUUACUGCUUCCUACGAAAUCAGAACAGGAGCAUUUGUCUGCAAGUCUGUGCCUUCAUUAAUUACGCACCAACCUGCAUUCUUCGGUGGUGAAUACAAAAAGGGAAAGCCUUAGAAGCAGCAUUUCCCUUAGAAACGAUUGCCUGUCAAACAAAGCAUAAAAAGACAAAAGGCAGAAACACUGUUUCAGCUUGAAUGCCUUAAUGUCACUAUUUGUCAUGCAGCACUUCAUCAGAAAACCCCGAAGUACAGUUAACUCCACUCCUCGGCACGCCGCACACUUUCGCUGCUGUUGCAGGAUGAAAAUGUGCCCGGCCUGACAAUGAACCAGCAGAGCCAGCGCACAUUGUUAUGCAACUCGCCGUCUGCAAGGGUGCCUCGUAGCUCCUUCUUUAUUCAGCGAGUGCCAAGUGCAUGUUUAAUCAAUGUCACAGCUCGCCACAGUGUGCAACUAAAGCCGCUGUCAUUCCUCUCUUCAGAUUUGUCAGGCUAAGUUAUGCAAUGCUCCGAAGAAUACCUUGGAAUUAUUUGCAGAGCCUCUGAAUGCAGGUGUGUGACAGCGUUUACACGGCCGCCACUGGAACAGGCUCCUUCUUCUCAGCCCUUCUCAGCCUGGACUAAAAUGACAUAGUGUGACUGCACGUAGCGCGCUGCAUUCGGAAUUACAGCAUGGCAACGUGAGAAGCCUCUUCAGACGGCUGCCACUGAGAGUAAAUCAAAGGCUGGUGGGUUUUUUUGAAGUCUUAAUAAAUAACUAAAUACAAUUGAAUAAAGCAGGAGCUGUUUCUUUUUCUUUUUUUCUUUCUUUCCUUUUUUUUUUUUUAAAAGGCAAAACCAAACAGCAUGCAUGUCGUUGCUUUGCAUCAUCCAGGAAAAAAAAAUCCUCAUUUUAAUGAGAAUUAGUCAACGGUGAGGACCAUUACCAGAAAGGGUUUUUCUGUUUUUGACUACACUUGGCAUUAGUGGAUUACUGAGGCAGAAGGCCAGUCAUUUGGAAGAUUCGGUAACGUUAUUAUCCUCGCCGUUAAACUUCUUCCUCAAGGAACUGUUCAUGCUCCUAUCUGGUCUGUCUGAGUGAGGAGAGCAGCCCCUUCAUGAAGAUAAAAGCCUGGUUUGCCACUGAAUCUACGAGUAAGAAGCAUGUCUGAUGACAUUUUAUUCCUGAUGCAAUGUAGGCUAGCUGCCAGAAUACUGGUGAAGAUAUUUGCAGGAAAAAUGGGGACCUCUGCCAUCACAACACUGGAGGAUGUAAAAAGGCGAGAGGAGAAGGAGGAAAAAGAAGAAUCUAUUCUAGCACUGCUUGGAAUUAUUGGAACUGUGCUCAAUUUAUUUGUUAUUGUUUUUGUGUACAUCUACACUACGCUUUGAUGGCAUUUUUGAACAUCAAUUGCAUAGCACACAGUGCAAAGACCAGCGACAGUAAGGAUGAUUUCUAAAUUUAAAGCAAAAAAAAAACCAACAAACCAAAACAGUCUGACAAUAUUAUCAAUAACAUUCCAGAGCAAAGUGCCUGGCUAAGGGCACUGCAACAAUGACUGCUAAAUGUAUCUGUGAGCCCAGCUAGGGUGCUAAAUUAUGUAAAUGAAGACAGACAAUAUUCAAUUUCUCACUGAUAACAGAUGAAAGCCUAAUAGUGGAAACCGAGACAGCACUAUUUUAUUGCCAACAAACAUGCAAGGCACAAGAAAUAUAAGCAGAAAAACAGUGAGAAUAAUCAGAACAUAGAAAGAGAUUAAUUAAAUAUAUGAAUACAUACAAGCAAGCCCCGUGAUGCUUUCUGUAGUUUUGUGCAAUAUGUCUCUUCAUAGCUGAGACCAGAAAACAGACAAAAGGGUUUUAUUUUUAAAUCACUAUAAUUUAGGCUUAAAAUCUACACUGAUGUGUAAUAAGUGUGGAAACAGGAACACUGUUAUACCAAAAAAUUGUAAUACGAUAAGUAAAAUUUUAACUACUAGCUAUAUUCUGCAGCAUUUUUGUUAGUCUUGUGGAAAGCUGGAAAAGGUUAGAGUUUUCUUGCCUUUAUUGAAUCUGUAUUUGAAAUCAUGCUGUAUUGAUGAUGUGCUUUUCUAAUUAAAAAUCCUUUAAAGUGGUGUAAAAAAG